Molecule: small nucleolar RNA, 80 nt
Organism: Pyrgilauda ruficollis (rufous-necked snowfinch)
Lineage: Eukaryota; Metazoa; Chordata; Aves; Passeriformes; Passeridae
Source: RefSeq, a predicted model, not a curated record
CCGCGCCGUGAUGAGCCGCUGUCGGCUGUCGAGUUUGGCGACAAUGAGAGGCGCCUCCAUGCACUACCAGCUGAGCGCGG